This 102-nucleotide microRNA precursor is filed under the name Trifolium pratense (red clover). Its description in RNAcentral is "pre miRNA mir-395". It matches the Rfam family "mir-395 microRNA precursor family". From Rfam's summary of the family: mir-395 was identified in both Arabidopsis thaliana and Oryza sativa computationally and was later experimentally verified. mir-395 is thought to target mRNAs coding for ATP sulphurylases. The mature sequence is excised from the 3' arm of the hairpin. The record is from Rfam by way of RNAcentral. Lineage: Eukaryota; Viridiplantae; Streptophyta; Magnoliopsida; Fabales; Fabaceae.
CUGUAUCUUGGAGUUCCUCUGAACUCUUCAUCUAAAUUAAGGGCUAGCAAGAAAGAAUGAAAAUCCUUUUGAUGAAGUGUUUGGGGGAACUCUUGGAUUCAA